CUCCGUCCCGGCCUGUUGUGGGGCCGAGCGCGGGCGGGAGCGGGGGUGUCUGAGUCAGAGCUGCAUCCUCGGAGGAAUAAACGCCAAAACUCCCUCCUCGGCCGCUCUCACACCCCCGACCUCCAGCUUCUUCCUCACGACCGUCGACGCUGUCAGCAUACGUGUUCUUUAUGAACCUCUUAACAGCACAUUUUCGGCCUAAACUGCGCGAAAAGCCGGGCAGAGCCGCCGGAUCUCACACACGCUGAAGAACUACCUGAGGGGAGGGCAAGAGGGGAGCGAAAAAGGAGCGGGAAUUUUUGCAGACCUGCUCAGGAGGUUUUGACUGAAACUUUCAGUAAGACACUCAAGGCUGAGAAUCUUCCCCGAAGCGUUUAAGACUCAAAGGCAAGUGGGAGAAAGCUUCUUUCCUUAGAGCGAGUGCGAGAACACUCGCUGAAAGCAUUUCUGUUCUGCAGGGAAUGAGACAAGCAGCGAACGAGCCUCGUCUGCCCGUUAGGGAGCAGCCCUCGGGGAGUAGGAAUGGCGCGCUUCUGUCCAGAGCAGCGGGCGCUGCCAAUGCCAGGAGCCCGCUCAGCCGUUCAGGGCGGACGCAGCUCCGGCCAUUCGUAAGCAGCCCCUCUUGCUAACCACCAUAUCUCCUCCCAGCUCCCGCUGCACCUCUCCGCCGCCCUGCCUCCCCUGCCCGGCUUCAGCCCCUCCAGCGAUACGGCUGAUGGAGGGGAGGCGGCGGCUGGGGUUUCGUUCGACGCCCACCAGGGGCUGAGCGAGCCUUCUUCAGUGCGCAAACUCGGGGCACCAGAUAAAAGCUGGGCUGGCAGCUCUUACCCUGCCUCGAUGGAGCCGCCACUUUCGGCUGACUGGAGAAGCAGUUAGCAGCAGCGCCAUAGACUAAGCGUCCCCCCACACCUUGGGCACAGAGAGUUUGGGGCUCUAAACAGCUGCUGCUGCGGCAGGAGGGAGUCGAGGUGAAGGGAUCUGCUAGCUGGUUGGACGCAGAGGAGGCGGCUGUAAUGGGGCAUUAAGUCUGAGGGAGGAGGGGGGGGCGAUUAAACCUCUUGUGAUCAUGGCGGAGUCUAUGGGUAUUUUUUUUCCUGUCUAACUCUUCUGUGCGUGUGUCUCUUGUUUCUUUCUCUCUCUCUCUCUCUCUCUCUCUCCUUAGGGCGCUUGGCUGGGGCUGCUCGCUCGGGUUCUGCCUGUUGUUGCGCGAAAUGGCGGCUGGCGUCUUGCAGGGGCAGCCGCAGCUGGGCAGGGUCGGGAGCUGCCGGGGGAGGCAAAGGGAGAAAACGGGCGCCAUGAUCUCAGCGCUCGGGAAGACUCCGCGGGCAGGGCGUCCCCGAAGAGCUGGCGAAACGAAAAGCGGGACCGGGCCUGGGCUUCUCCAUCUCGAAUAGUGCCGGGGCUGUGCUGAGAGGAGCGGGAAACGAGCGAGAGGGGAGCAACUCGUGCCUGCCUUUGUAACUGCGUCAGUACAAGAUGGCGCAGGGUGUCCCUGGAGAGGGAAGGGAGUUGCACGUCCGCCGGAGGUCAUGUGACCGCGUUGCAUUCCUGUGGGGUUUGGCUGCGGACCAAGCUGGCUUGGGCGGCAGCGGCGGCUGCCCGGGAGAGCCCGGGCUUCCCUCCCCCUCCUGCACAACGCCGUCGGUCCCGCGCUGGUUCCCUUCCCCCACCAGCCUCAUGCACGAGGGUGUAGCUGCUGCCGAGGAAGGUUCUCGCUUCUCUCUUUACUCUCCACCCACCUCCAGGGUGUAGCUCCCCUUGGGGAAAGCUUUCCAUUCCGCCCCCUCUGCGCAAGGCUUUGCCCACCGCCAGGGAAAGUUCCCCGUGGGUGCCUGCCGGCUCCGCCCGAGCGUGGGAGCCGGCUGCGCUCACGGCAGUGCCGCCCGCUCGGUGCGAAGGCGCUCUGCUCUGAGCUAAGUUGCAGGGGGUUAUGGAGCGCUUCUUACUGGAACAGUCGUUUUAAGUGAUGUCUAAAUGACCUCAUUAAAGCCGCCGAGGAAAACGCACAGGCCCUGCGGAGUUGCUCUUCUAACGAGGAGGCCUUGGCUGUUCUAGUGUUGCUCUACCGGGGGUACGAGUGGAGGGGCCAAGUGAAAGUCUCUCAGCUGUUUAUGACUUUAUUCCGUUUGAACAGGAAAAGUGAAUCGCUGUUCUUUGUGUGCUGUUGAAUCCUGUUGCAGGAGUUGAGCAGCUUUCUGUGGAACAAUAGGUGUAUUCCAAAGUCAGGCCGCAGAUGGCCUACAUCUUUAACAUGGGAAUUGAUGUGUAUACUUAGUGCAAAUGAAAACUAUGGUCUGCAAAUAUUGUGACGACUCCCCAUGUUUUACUUUGAGGUCCGUAGGCAAAUGAACUUGUUAUAUAGGCCUGGAAGGUUGGCAAAUACUUUUUCCGUGUCUUUUUUUUUCCUUUUAAUUUCAAUAUUCGCUGGAUGGGAAGUGAAAAAUGUAUGUUUUCCAAUCCUAACUCUUUUUCUUUAAGGAAUGCAAUUCCUAUUACUGUUUGGUUGAUCUUCUCAUAUUUUAAAAGUAAUUUAGUGCUAGUUCCCAUGUUCUUGUAUGCCACAAUAUAAAUUUAGCCACAACAUCUAACCCAAUGUACAAAUUAACAGUUAAAAUUGUUGAUGAUUUAAGGGUGUGUGUUUGUUCUAUUUGGGAAUGUUUCACUUUUUCUAUUCUUAGUCUGUCUCUUGAUAGGUAGGAUUUUUUUUUACUUUUUACCUCCACAGUAGCAACUUGAUAGGGCAUAAAUCUUGACUAUUUAACAAAUGUGCUGUUUGAGAACUGGCAUGGAAGUAACUGCGUGUAUGACUAAUAGAGAUUUCUGUAUAAUAGCUGCUCUUUAAUAUGUGUUACAUAAGUAAUAUGGUGAGGUGGAGUUCAGUUAUAUAAGAACUGACUGGGGACUUGGGAGCUACUGUAAGUAGUUCAUAUUGGUCGCAUAUAUAGCCUGCAGGGCAUCCCUGUGUUGUGGGAGGAGGGGUAGAAAAACAGGAUUGGAAGCAUCUAACAGCACUACAUUUUUCCUUUGUAGGUUUAUAGAGGAUACCAGGAAAGAAAGGGAGAAGGCAGUAAUUAGGAGUGACAGAGUGUGAAGCUUUCAAAAGUCUGUAGUCUCAUUUGAGCUUAGGUUUUAGGAUGUAAGCUCUAUUUUCUAAAAGAGCAAUCUCCCCUAUUUUGAGUGUCAGAAGGUAGCUGCCAGCUGAGCAUUGUGCUAACUUCUGUGCAGACUAUAAAGAGCAAGAUUCUUGAGUCCUGGAGAUAGUGAGGCUGUGCCUAUUUUUUUUGUUUAAAAAAAAAGAAGCUUACUGGAAAUGGUGUUAGGAGGAGGCAGUUGGUUUGUUGAUCAAACAUUAAAAUGACUGGAUUACUGAUUCUUCUUGUGUAGGCAUCAUAUGACACAAGGUAAAUACUCCUUUGUAAUGGAAGCUUCCAGAGAAGCUUUGAGUGUACAGUGAUUCUUUUAACAUAGCAGUGAUUUAUGUGGGACUUGUCAUUGUGAAUACUUCAUUGCAGAUGUGUUAAAGGGAGAACAUUAAUUCCAACUAAAGAUGAGGGGAAGAAACAUUUUAUUAGGAUUUGCAUUUAGGCAUAUGUUCUGUAAUUAUGAAACAGUAAUUGCCUGCCUCACUGUAAAAUAAUUGUUUGAAUACUUACGUUAUAGAAUAGUUUAUAUAGAAAAUUAGCUAGCAUUCUAAUUCUUAAAGCAGCCUUUUAGGUAACUCACUUUGAUAACAGAUUUUGCUUGAAAACCAAGAAGUGAAUUGUUUUAAAAGUUCUCUCUGUAACUCAUAGCUUAUUGCCGCAGUAUUUGAACUGAGAUGUGGCUGUGCUUUUACGAAGCUAUAGGAAUGAAGGCAAGUUUUAAUGAGCUGGUAGUAAUUUCUAGUUUGUUUCAAGGUUGUUUUUAUUAGUAAUUCUCAGGAAAGCAGUUAUCUUGAAAGAAGCAGUAGCUCUGGUAGUGUUGCAAUGAAGUCUCAAAACAAAGUCAUAUGUAUUCUGAGUUAUUUGUGCUGCAGGAGAAUAGUGAAAACAAAAUGUGUGUAUUUCUUUGAGACAGGGCAUUUGCCCUACAGCUGGUCUGAUGCAAGGUGUUUUAAUCUCAAAGGGAAGAAAAGAGCUGUAUUCAAGGGAGACUGGGUAAAAAAUGGCAUGUAAUUUACAUUUAUGAUAGCUUACCAGGGAAAUGAACAAUUCCUACAGAACUACAAUUUGCUUCUUAACAAAGAUACUUCAGUGGGCUGGAUGUUCCCCAGCACUUAGAUUUGUGGUUCUAACUUGCCGUGGUAGCCUGUCUGUGCAUGCAUGUGUGGUCUGAGCCCUUGCUAAGACCUGUUAUUUAAACAGUUGUUUACCUUUAGCCAUACAAAGGGACAUACAGGAGUUCAAGGGUAUUUAGAGGAGAAAGGAGAGAUACUAACAGUGUAAUAGAUCAAAUGAUGCAUUAAUGUCAUAGUUGAGACAGUUAAAAGUGGUCAUGCUGAAAGAUGAUCUUGCACCUUUUCAGCUGUUCAUUCUUGCUUCUGCAAGUGAUCAUGGGAGAAAUAGCAGUGAAGAAUGGACGAAACAUAAGCCUAAUAGUAAUGGAUGGUUUUCUAAUGUGACUCUUCAUUGUGUGGCUUGACAAACAUUCCUGUUUGAAUGAGAGCGGAAUGAAGCACCUGCUGGGAAAAUAGAGAUACACAGGUUUUAAUUGUUAGUGAAGCUAGGUAUGCUUUUUCUCAGGAAAGCUGCAGUUAAGGAGUUUUGAGGGGCACUAUUAAAGGCUUUUGGCUAGUGUAAGUAGAAUCACUGAGCCAGGCACUCUUAAAAAAAAUCCUAAACUUUGAGUUUAUGUCAUUGCUAGAUUGACCUUCAGUUGUGGGUAGCAAGAGCACUUCAGCUUCACUGAAUUGGUAGCCUGUAAAAUUAAGUGAAUUGUUAUUCUCAGCUACAGGCUAAUUAAGUGUUCACAGGGCUUUAGAUUUAAGUUUAUUUUGUUGGAACAAGGUAAAACUUGGAAUAAGCUUGCUUCAUCCACAAGUGUCUGAUACUCUUAAUAGCUGGGGUAUUCAGUGCAAAAUUAUCCGUACAGGAUGAGUUCUUAGUUAAUCAUAAAAAGUGGUGCCUGUGGGUCAGUAGUAGUAGUCACUAGCCAAAUUAAUUUGCAUUAGUUGCAUGAGGAAAAGGUGUUCUAGUGACUGACAACUGAUCAGUUUAUCCACCUGGAUUUGGACAGACUGUGUUCAGUGCUCAAACAGCAGCAGGACAAGAAAUUCCUUUGCAUACUGCUUUAGUCUUUGUGUUACAAGGAAUCUUUUUGAAAAAGUUUUUUCUUUAGCAGUAAAAUAGGUUAUUGGCUGGUUCUACAAUUCUUAACAGUUGAGUUCCUCACUUAAAGAAGCAACCUUAAAGAGCUGUCGUAUGGCCUCCUAAUCCUGGAAUUAGUGGGCUUUUGUACCAGGUUCACUGCUGUGACCUCUGUGUAGCGAAGUGGGGCAUUGGUUUGUUUUCUCCUUGCAGCAUGACCUUGUUACUUGAAGUAGUCUUUCUGAUGAACUACUAGGUGCUUUGGAGAGCAGUAUUAAGGUCCAAGUAGCUACUUUCCUAAGUGAGGUCAUGCUCAGAUUGUAAUUAUUAUAAUGCAGCACUAAUGCUGAGAUGCUGUCAAUAGCAGUUCUUUGAUGAAAAUAACCAGUGAUUGAAUGGCUCAUGAGCAGUUUAUGCAAUAUGGUGCUUUUUGAGGAUCUUUAGGAAGAAAAUGGGGAACAAUACUGCCAGUUUGGAAACCUGGAUUGUGGCAGAGUUGGGAAAUUACUCAACUAGAGACUCUAGCAUCCCGUAAGUACAGCUGAAGGUGGUCCUGUCACAGAAGGUAAGAGUUUGUGUUCCUUGUAAGCUCAGAAACUAAGCAAAUCUUAGCUGCUGGUGUUUUUGUUUUGGGGUUUUUUUUGGCGCUUAUUAAGUGGUGGAGAAAAGAAACUGUAUGGAAACUUCUUACUGUGACUGCUCUUCCAUCUAUGAGUUUGUUAAUGUGGCACAGUCAUGCAAUAGAUGUUACUCCAAAGUAGAAAUGCAGCGGCUUUACUGCAGCAGUAUAUCAUGUUUCUUCAAAGGUUUAGCUUCUGAAGAGUGCUGCAGUCCUAUUCAGUGUGGUCUGUUAAGAAGCAAAACAGAAAUACUCAACAGGGUGGGGCUUUUCAACACAGAAAAGGCUCUUGGGGAGACCUCAUUGCGACCUUCUUAUGUUUAAAGGUGGCUUAUGAAAAACAGAGUGACUUUUUACAUGGGCAGGUAGUGAUAGGAGAUGGGUUUAAACAAAAAGAGGCGAGAUCUAGAUUGGAUGUUAGGAAGGGGUGCUUAGAAGAUAGUGAGGCAUACGUUGUCCAGAGAAGCUGUGGAUGUCCCAUUUCUAGAAGUGCUCUGGGCAGAUUGGAUGGGGCCCUGAACAGCCUGUCAUGUAGAGUUGUCCAUGCCCAUGGUAGGGGCUAGGAACUUGAUGAUCUUGAAAGUGCCUUCCAACCCAAACCAUUGGUGUCUGACAGCAGAAAGGUGCACUAAGACUGGGUACCUUUUUGACAUUGAGUACCACUGGUUAUAGUAAUGGAUUUGUUUCCAGCAAGUUUCAGUAAAUUGGUAAAUAGUGAAUAAUUUUUUAGUAUUUAUUUUUAGUAUUUUAUUGACAGAAGUUAGUAUCUUUCUGUCCAGUUGGCUGUCGUAUAUGUCGUUCCUGCCUUUACUUAGCAGGUUAGUCAUGACACAGGACUGUCAUGUGAUUUCCCAAAUUUUCCUGAAGGCAAAAAAAAAAAUUGAGGUACAGAACUGUGCCACUUUAUUAAUGCAGACAGAACAAUCCCUCAAAGAGACUGUGACUGGUCAUGAUACUGAGAUAGUAAUUUAAUCUCUAGCCUAAGAAAUGCUUUACCAGCUUUAUUCCUUGGUACGUGCUAAGCAAUGAUUGUUCUGCUUCAUUUUGGGCUACUGUGUUUGUGGUCCAGUUUGUCAGGCUGAUGAUAGAUUGUGUAGUAUGGUCUUUCUGUUGAGCCAGGGUAAGCUGUCUCAAAUUCCAUCCAGAACAGCUUUGGGUCUUCUAGUUAGAGGUUUAUUAAAUAGUACUGAAUGUCAUUGUCACAGAUAUCCUGAUUUAGAAGACUACUCUUCAUAAAAUGAAACUAUUGCUUUUUAUCAGAAUGGUGCUACUUCAUCUUCAAAGCUGUGCUCCAUAACCCCAGCAUACAUAUGCUGGAACAAGCUCAUAAGCUUAUAAAGGCAUGCUGGGCAGUUGUCAGAUCCUAUUUUUAAACCGUUUCUGAGAAACACUUCUGCUUCCCUAUCUCUGCAUAGUCAUAGGAAAGACUGUACUUCAUGCAGGAGCCAUAGUGUCUGGGCUCAGCUAACAGUAAUUUUUGAACUUGAGUGUCUCCUCUUCAGAGAUAGUAAAAUUGAACUGCACUGAUUGCUGUUGCAGAGGGGAGAUGACGGAUCACUAGGAAAUUGUGGUAGUGGGCUAUCAAUCCCUUGACUCUAGGUACAAACAAUAAAAGAUUGUAUAGGUAUCUCUUCACUCCUGUGACCAGGGACAGGGCUUGAGGAAAUGGCAUGAAGCUGAGGCAGAGGAAGUGUGUUGAAUAUCAGGAAAAGGUUUUUCACCCAGAGAGUGGUUGAGCACUAGAAUGGGCUCCCCCCAGGGAAGGGGUCACAGCACCAGCCUGAGUUCAGGAAGUGUUUGGACAAUGCUCUCGGGCACAUGGUGUGGUUCUUAGGGUGUCCUGCAUGUGCCUAGGAACUGGACUCCAUGAUCCUGAUGGAUCCCUCCCAACUUGGCAUACUCUUAUGAUUCUAGAUCUGUGGUGCUUGAGAGCCUAGCCAAACUUUAAUAGGAGUCGUGAUGCCUGGUGUCAGAGCACCUGCUUUGCUAUGUUUCAGAGAGUGCAGGAAGAGUUGAGCAUUUUAAAUACUUUAAAUGGUAUCUCUCCUGGUGAAUCUUGAACAUACAAGGUUUGCUUAAUCUGCUACUGAUUUGCAGUAGCCCACUUUCUGUAAUUGUGUGGUACUACUUUAUGCCACCUUUACAUUUUCACUGACAUUGGAAAACCUAAAAACGCAACUUGUGUCUGUAGGCAACUAGUAUUUUAAGGCUUUUUCUCCCUGUGUCUAACAUUGCUUUAGUCUAGGCCUGAAGUACAGACACUAAAUACAGGUGUUCACACAUUUCUAUGCUAGAGAGAGAAUUCCAGAAUUGAAGGACUACUUCAGUGAAUAUGUAUUAUGUAGUUUGGGUCAAAAAAUAAAGAAUACCAAUCAAGAAUUUAGACUUGAUUUUGUUUGUCUCUUAAAACUGGCAGGCAGGGAUAUUUCAAGCUAGGGAAACUACUAUGAACAGGAAGAAAAAAUCAUGCUCUAAUAAAAUGAAUUGUACAACGCAAAAUUAACAUGCUGAAUUCUGUGUGUCUUAGAACUCUUUCAAAACACUCCUGGGACCCUGCAGUUGCUAGUGUAGACCUAAUUGAUGGGAGGGAAUUGUAAUUUCAAAGUAUUAUUAGGACAGAUGCCUGAGGGCUGUAGCCAAGCCUACUCUACUUCUAGGAGUUGACAGUGCAGGGUCUUCGGAUUUCUUUUUUUUCUAGAAUAGGCAAGCUCUUAUUCCACACUUCACACAGAUUGUGUGCCACAAAUGUUAGUGGCCUUUUAAGUGCAGCUGUUAGUUAACUUAGUUUGUCUUGUCUUCUGUUUCGGUGGUAUGACUACUUAAUAAUCCAGUUCCCCUUUAAGUAAAUUGAAAUAGUUAACAGAAGCCAAGGAGAAGAACAGCUACCUAAAUUUUGUAUUGUAGGCCAAAUUUCUGCUUAAAGGAAGGAGAGGAACUUAGCAUUGGACAUACUUUAAGCUCAUCCUACAAUGAGCAAUGCAGUGGUCUUUUUGAAGGGUAUGAUACCUUUUGUCUGUUUGCUUAAACAUGCCCUUUAAUUUCAGCAAUGUAAUGAUGCUGAAAUGGGCUAUAAAACUGUUAACUCACUUAAAACAAACCUCAUCAGUUCCACAUAUUUCUGUAAGCUAACAAGAAUAUACUCGCAUACUUUCUGUUCAGUGUAGUGACUGUGCCUUAUGUUUCAAAUUCUCCUGUGUCUAGUCCUCGCAGCCUUUCAAUGUAGUUGUAGAUAGCAUAUUACAACUUAGAGGUAUUGAGCUGUCUACCAGUGCUCCAUGUAUAGAAGUGACUUGCUGAAAGGUGUUUCUUUGUGUCUGUAGAUGCUGCAUUAAGCUUAGAUUUUUUUUUCCUGUAGCCCACCUGUGUACUGAACAAAGUGUCUUGCUCUAGAUGCUUCUUUCUGCUUGAAUAGCAUUUACCACAAUUUAUGUACUUAUGUUAUGACUGCACUCAGUAAAAGUAACCUCUACGUUCUGUUUUGGAUGUGUGUAUUAAUAUGUGUAGAACAUCUGUUGCAUCUUUUUAGAAACAGCACAUUGCAGUCUUGGAUCAUAUUUCAAAUCUGAAGCCUUUAAGGUCUAUCUGAAGUAACAGUUUAUGUAGUGGGGUUUUCUUAUAUGGUGCAAGAAUAAGUAUUGUUUUAGUAUUGGUAUUAUCCUUCUGCAUCAUCAGUCCCUACUAGAGAAAAAGAUCAGCAAAAAGGAAAAACUGAACUGGGUGUCCAAAAAAAGUAGGUCUGAUAGACCUUAUUUUUCUUCGUGUGUUUCUAAGAUUCUUGGUUGAAUCUGAAUUUUGGAUGUGCCCAGUUGCCACUGGAGUGCCACUGGAGAGGGUUUUUUACUACUAAGAAACACUUCUGCUGUAGUUCAUAAGCUGAAGUAUUGCUCUGCUUGUCAUAUGAUAAAUAAAGAUGAGAUGUUUCAUUAGGUUCAUUCUCUUUUCUGUUACGUCAGUCUAAUGUAUGCAUUUAUUUUAAUAUGUAUUUCUGAGUCCCAUUAAGCAGUAGCAUGUCUAACAUGUGAUACCUUUUUGAAACUCCUCUAGCUUUGAUUUUGAACUGGAAAUAUUUGAAUGGGGAUUCCUGGUCUUUCUGGCUGUUCCAAGGAAAAAUAAGAAUUGAAUACAUUCUUCUGUAAAUAGUGGGUAUAAACACAGUAUAUACCCAUGGUCAAUUUAGCCUGUUUAGCUGUUUUUUAGCACAGGGAAGCUAAAACAGUGAAAGUGUGAAAUACCAGUAUGUGUGAAUGACUGUGCUUAGGAUUACAGAUGGCCAAAGGGAGGAUGAUGGAGGGCUCUACCAGUAACUGCAGCUCUUUAGAGGAGUGGGUAAAACCAAAAAGUGUAUUUCUGGUGUUAACUAGAGAGCAGUUGCUGUAACAGUAUUUUUAUCAGCAUUUGUAGGUUCUUUAAGCUGUUUUUCACUUAGUAUUUAAAAAAAGGGAAUUGAAAAAAACUUGAAAUUGAAUACCUCAUCAGUGGAGGGGUUGCCCUUAACUGCAGCAACAAGAUGGAUUGUAAGGCGGGAACAUGACUGAAAUCUGUCUAUGUUGUAAAAUAAGCAGGCCUAACCUGUAGUUCUUGAACAGUGUACAACUUUCAAGUAGCUCAAGGCUAUGUAUGUCUGUAAUCUACUGAUAAUAGAAAUUGUGAAAACAGGCAUUGUAUGCAAAUAUGGAAUUCUGAAAGACCAGUUUAGAGGGGAUCUGCAUGUAAGUAACAUUCUUAUUUCAAGCAGUUACACUACAUCCAUCAGAUGAUUCCUAGCUGUUGUGCAGCAGGAAAGCUUAGCCUUUUUCCAUUCAUCCUCUGUAGCUUGUGGAGGAAAACACAGAUUGGACUUGUAUUUAACUAUAACUUCCUUCCCUUUGGGAACUCACAUCUGAACUAGUACGGAUUUCUGGCCAUGUGGUAUGCUUUGAUUUCCUGCCCAUAUGUGAAAUUUGAGUAAGCUUUGGCGUCUCAAGGUGCAGAGGGUGACUGGGAGACUUCUUUCUGUGGAAGUAGAAAGUCAUUCCAUGAUUGUUUCCUUCCCCAGCUUUCUGCAUGUGUACAACUAGGUAUACUCUGUAUGUCACAGUCAGCUAGUAGUAUGUAUGAGCUGACAGUACAGCAUGUAAGAUUUAAGCUUUCCUAUUUUUAAACUUAAGAACUCUUUCAAAACUUCAGGUAGUUUUGCUGUAUUUGAUUAAAAUUGUUGUUUUUAAAUGUCAAAAGAAAAUGCUGGACUGAAGGCUAGCUCAAAGAAUGGCAGUUUUACACUUAAAUUUUCACCUGCCAAACAGACUGCCAAAAUCAGCCUAUAGGUUUUCCAUGCAGUGAACAGAUUGUGAGAUGUACAUAAAGAAAUCACAGAUAGUGCUGAAGAAUGAGGGAUUGCAGUACACAAAGGAAGGUGCUUAUCUUUAGCUAGAUACGUGUUUUACUUUAAAUCUGGUUUUGGCACUACAUGUUCAUGCCCAGUCUUUUGUAGCUUUUUGAAAGGGAAAAUUUCUAACAACCAAAUCAGUCGCCUUUUUAAAUGCAGGAGAACUGGAGUAAGGAAGCCUCUGAGCAUGCAUGCCUCCAAAAUCCUGCACAUGUUCUUUCACUUAAAUUUGUCUGAAUACCAUAAUCAGUCUUGUGUUUUACAAUGCUCAAUUACUAGGAAUUUAAUUUCCGUGUUUAUAGAUAAUGUUUUCUACCUAUUUUGUAAUGUAGGCAGUGUUUUUCCUGUAGUUUUCUCAUGGUGUUUAGCUUCAUUUUUUUCCCCACAACAUUGUACUCGACUUUAUUAUUGAGAUGUUUAUUUCCUUUGCUUUCUAAUGUGAAAGAGAAACUCUGCUAAACCUGCAGAUUUUUCAAGACAGAGCAAGAGGGGAAGCUAGUGCUCAAGUUCACAAAUCAAAAUAGGCUUGUAGUUACAGCUUAACUGACGGGUAGGAAAAAAGCUGUAGUUUAGGAACACAGCUGGCAACAGGCUCAUGUCUACCCCCAGAAAAGUAAACUUUUCUGCCACAAUCUCCAGAUCUGUUUGGAUAAUGAUAAAAAGAUACUGGGCAAAAUGUGAGAGUUCUGUGACUGUUUGCCCAAAGUAUAAAUAUUUUAGGCUUUGAGUGCUUGUGUGGCUUAAAUGUUGCAGAAAGACUUGUCUCAGUUAUUUUUAGGUUGGGGGAGCAGGAAGAGUACUUGCUUCCUGUCUUCCCCUCCCCCAGGAACCUUGGGUACGUUAAUGAGGAGAAGAGAUACAGCAACCCCUGAGUUGGUUUACCAGUUCCUAUUGAACAAGGUUAGUACAUUUUCUGACCUGCUUUGUGGAAGGGGUAGUACAGCCACUUUAGACAGUAUUCUCCCUUUUGAACCAACACAAAGGCAUUGAGAGUUUCAACUGAAACAAGUCCACAGUUUACUUGAUAGUUGCAUAUGAAUAGUCUCCAAAACAAUGUCUACUAAAGCUUAUUACUAGAAUUAGUCCUCUAGUUGCUGUUAUGUGAACUUUGAUGCUAUGCCCAGGCAUGACUAACUUGAGAAAUCAGUGAAACUGAAUACUCUAGUUCCUCUUAGCUAUUGUAAGAUAAAUAUAUUUAGGCAAUAGCCAUUAAUGUCUUUACAUCAGCUGUUGUUUCUCUUGUAUAUAGCUACAAAUUCAUCUUACUUGUAGGUGUUGGUACAUAUCCAUGCUAUAAAACAAAGGAAUGUGAUAACUUGGAACAGUACUUGUCCAGUUCAAGCUAUACCAGACUGCUUCACUUGGCAGUUCAGGGUUUUUUGUUACUUUGAUCCAUAGAGGCAUAAAAAAAGCUGUAGCAGUGUUUUGGAUUUUUUCAUAACAGGGAGAGGCAAAAAAUGCAUUUGGUCCUGGUUACUUUAAAAAUUGUCUAAGACAAUAUAAUUGAUUCUUUUUCUGUUGCAUGAGUAUUGGCAGCAGUACACAGGUAUUAACUUUGGGAGAAAUAGUGUCUAGGUCUGUUGUAGGAAUCUCUGAUGGUUGUUUGCCAUCAGUGUGCACAUGCACUUCAUAAAAGUGAUCACUCUUCCUGACAAAAAUCAGUCUGCAGCAAUCCACCUAGAAGUACUGAGCUUCUUGGCACUGUGCAGCAUGUGCAGAACAGGCUUAGAAUCACUCAGGCAAGCAACAGAAAAAUACUAGCUUUGGCAUGCAGAAGUGUCCCCAUGUGUAGAGCCAGGAUAGAAACACCAGGCUUGUCCUAGCAUGCUCCUCAAGCAGCUACACAGAAACGUAGCUAUACUACUAUGCGGAGCUGUGCUUUUUCUUCAGACUUCUGUGUGUUUUCCACUAAUUUAGUGAUGGUGGUUAUGCUGUCUUUGGGGAUAUUGGUUUGCAGUUAGGUCUAGGGUUUUGUUUCAUUUAAAGUUAAGAUGUUGGAAAACUGAGCAGUUCUUGCUGCUUACUUUGAUCCUUCCAGCUGAAGCAAAAAUUUUGUGCUGGUAUUAGCUGUCUUGGGAAACAAACUGUAUGAGAGGGCACCAGCUGAGAAUGCAAUUUUCGAUGUCUUGAAUUCUGGAGAAAAUGGAGUGUCUGCUUACAGACACUUGCAAUCUCUUGCAUCACUAAUUAGGCACAAGCAGUCAAAUCUUAAUCUGAUGUCUGAAUUACACUUAGUUAAAAAGAUACAGCAGAGUAUGUUUACUUGACUAGUGAGAACAUUAAGCAAUUCCAGUUGGCUUCAAAUAUAUUUUUAAUUUGCAGAUGAAAAAUCAAAAAUUUUGCUGCUAGUUAAACUUUUUUGUCAGUAGUUCUAUGGACUUGUGCAGUUUGUUCUGCAGGGGAUUCCCAUUUUCUAGCAGUUUUAUUCAAUACAAAAUGAAUAAUAAACUAAAAAAUUUGUGAACACUUAGCUCUUUAAAUAAUGGUAGGAGUAUCCCUAUCAAAAGAUGAGCCUUUAUUAUUAAACAGAAUAUAUAUAUAUAAGCUGAAGUGGUGAAUCACAUGAAAGAUGGGCAUAACUCAACAUCCACUGUUUUCAGACAGUAGAGUCUGCACACUGCAGCCAAGUUCUUUGUGAGUAUUGAACGGUCUGAACAUAAGGAGGGCUGGUGCCUUCUCCUGUUCUUGAUGAAGUUGUCGAUAGUAGAAUUGAGGCUGCAAGAUGAAUCAUGUUCCAGUUCUUGCUUUGAUGCUUUAGAACAAAGCCUUUUGCUCCUUAUUUGAGAACUGACCAAAAAACUUGUCCAAGUUGUGAACCUUUCAUGGGAAGAGAGUGUGUUGGGGGUGGGGUGGUGGGUGUAGUUUUAAGAAGCUUGUGUUUCAAAAUAAGCCUUUCACAAUUCCUGCUUCUGGUCAGAUGUACAUACUUUACAUGUGUGAAACACGUGACUUAGCUAGGUAUAAUGUAGCCUUUGGAGGCUGAGCAUAACAUUAUCUAGAUCUAGGACACUGAAGUAACUUCAUAUAAUGGUCACCUUGAGCUGCUCUAAUCUGUGUAUGAGCAUGUAUUACUGGUAGUGCUAACCAGUGUGUGAGAAGGAAGGAAAGGAGAAAGCACAGCUUUAACAGUGGUUACAGCUUUCUGGUGGUUUUGAAGAAUCAAUAAUAAGAUGCAAGUGGUAGACUGAUAUAUAAUACACACAGUAAGACUAAAGGGAGUGCAUUAAGAUGAAAUUAGGGCUUUCCAGUUAGGAAGAUGGAACUGAAAGCUAGAGGAAAAGGGGCUGGGGAAAUUGGUGAGGUGAGAUGAUACCAAGAAGAGAAGUGUGGUGAGCUAAUCCAGGAGUAAGAGAAGUGCCUAUGUUGAAGGGAGCCAUUUUUAGAAAUAGUGAAAGAACAGGAAGCCUUGCAUGAGAACCUGCUGAAAGUUAACGUCUGUUAGCUAAUGAUGCCUGUCAUCAGGGAGUCAGUGCAGAAGUCUGGAAUCAUGGGAUGGCCAAAACCAGCACUGAGACAGCUGGUGGGGUUUGCAGCUUGGCCUGUGGACUAGAGGAGGAGUCAUGGACCUGUGGUAGGUGGUUGGAAAUAAAGACUGUAACUACUUGGGUAGUAACCCAGCUUAGUAAUGAGUGAUUAGCAGUAGGGCCAUGUUCAUCAAGGUGACUGGAGUUCAGUUCAGCCUUGAAACACAGCUUCUUAAUGUGCCUGAACUAGGAAGUAUUAUGUUGGGGCAGUUGUGGAUGCCAGAGGCAGUCAUGUCUUGAGAUGUUUUCUUUGGUUGCUCUUUGCUAGUCCUAUGGGCUGUUGUUCUGAUAGCACAGUGUAGUGUUCCAUCACCCCAAGUACUGAUCAUUUGUGUGACUAUGCUGUGAACAAAGGACUGAUGUGUUUAAUAAGGAGAUCACUUCUUCCUACUCUUGUAUUCAUUUUUUGAGUUGGGGCUGACUGUGGACCUAAUAUUAAUCAAAAUAGAGUCCUGGAGGGAUUGUGUUUCACAUAAUGCAAGAUCUCUGCCCAUACUGCUUCAGAAACACCCUUCUCCUUUUUCCACUGUUCAACUAUGUAAGUAGUUUUCCAAAGCACAUUAGUGCCUCAUGUCAGGGGCACAGUUAACUAGAAUCUAUUGGCUUGAGGAAAAAGCAGAGAUGGGGCAAAGUCUUGUUAAAGGCAUAUUGUUAAAUAUUACCACUAUACACUCUCAGCUGUAGUUUCACCGUUUUGUCACAAUUUAACAAAACUAUUCCUCCUGGGAAUGAAGGAGGGAUCUUUUACUGUUAACAUGACAAUAAAUAAAUUAGGCAACAGUAUGCAGCCUAUAAUUACAAGCCAUAUAAAACAAGAGAGUCCAGUGGCCCAGGCAGUCUGUUCUGACUUUUCUCAACUUUCCCCUGUUUUCCUAAUGCUGCAAAACAACAGAGAUGAGUAGACUGGAUUUUCUGCCAGUGUGUGUAUUCUAAGCAUCAAACACUUUUCAUUUAUGGAAUAAAACAAUGCAAUAAAAUGAGCUUAAUGACAGAGCAAGUCUCACUUUUUCAUAGACCUUUUUCUCCUACCCUCCCCUUGCCUUUCCAUGGUAACUCUGGAACCUCGUGAGUUACUAGUAAUGCUGGCAGAGGUUAAUGUUUACAACUCACUCUGUUUUUUGAAUACAGGCUUUAGUCUUCUCUAGCAAAUUGAAACCAGAUGGCAACAGCAGGGAGCAGAAUGGAAUUUAUUUCUCUUAUGUGGCUUGUGAUGUUAACAAAACUCUUCGGGUGUUUUUAUUGUUAUUUUGCCUAGAAAAUGGCUUGUACCUUCUUUCUGUCCAGUCUCUGUAAUGUGGAAGCCUAGAGCACUUACCCCUGCACACUUGAAAGCCUUCACUGAGAUGUGUUGCUUUACUUCCAUUACAGUGACAGACUGUGGUAUAAUCCUAUAACAUUUUUUGUGGGGUGUUUUGGAGUUUUUUUUCAAGUAAAAGCAUCAAAACUAGUUAAUCCAUCUAGAAUUUUUUUCUGCUGCUCUUGCACAGCUGAUGGAGGUGAAAUGCAAUUGUUUUGCAACAUUUAACAAGUCUUUCUCUUUUCUCUAACUACCCUAGGUGAAAGUACACUAAAGGAAGAUUUGCUGAAAUCUGAAGAGGGAGACAGGCUCAGUCACUCAAACUACAGUGAUUCCAGAAUCUGUAAUGUAGACAGGCUAAGUGGUUUGUUUUUUUUUGUUUUUUUUUUUUCCCCUGUGCAGUUAAUGCUGUGCUUUUUUUGCUGGUUUCUCAGGGGAAAAGACUCAACAUGUUGAAUCACAGAGAUGUUAAUUCCUGCUAGGUUUUGGGAUUUCCUUGCAGCUCUUCCCUCCAUGGCUGCAGGAGCUGUUUUUGCAGAGUGCCUCUUCUAAGGCAAGAAUUUGCUAGAGAUGAAGACAGAAGCCAACUGGAUGUAAUAGUUUCUGGCUCAAAUUGUGUGGUAAUUGUCAGAAUAUCACAGGGUGUUGUAGGAACUGCUGUGUUGAGCAUAGUUGAGGAUUUAUUCUUUCAUAAUUUGCCUAAAUGAGUAUAAAAUGCUAAUCUGAAUUAACAUACAAAAGUGAGGGGAAAGAUUUCUUGAUGUUUUCUACCCACUUGAAACCUGAUGUGUGCAAAAAUAAAUUUCAGUAUGCUGAAGUAGUCAUGGGUUUUUUUCCCCCCACUUGCUCAAUCUUAACUCCUUUCUGAUUUCCCAAAAAAAAAAAAAAAAGCUACUUGCUAUAGCUUCCAAAAUAAAAAAAAAAAAAACAACAACCUGUGGGCACUGGAAAUAUAUUAGAGCUUCAAAUUACUAUCAUUUUCACUAGGAAUUAAAAACAUGUAGUCCUGGAAAUAAAUUGAUACCAAGUAUUUUGAAAUACAUACCUGAUUCAUACAACUUGCUUUCCCCAUAGAAGAGAAGUAUUCCUAGCAGCUUGUUACAGUACUGAAUUCAGUGUUAAGUGUAAGAUUGGCACGUUUACUAUGAAGACCAACUUUAAGAGAAUUCAUACGAACUCUACUUCUUCAGCAAUUGUUUUUGAUAAACUGGGUCUUGCAGCUCCAAGAGGCAAACAGGAAAGGGAUGGAGGGGUGGUAGUCAAAUUUUCAGGCAGAUCAACUCCAGUUGGAGUUAAGCUCUCACAGUGUGGAAUAGUGUCAAACACUACAACACUCCUGUAUCCUUUUUCUUCAAAAAUGGCUACAGAUAUGCUGUCUUUUUACCCUGCAGUGCCACAUUCCAUGAUAAUGUUUCCAGUGCCUUUGAGUUUUUGUCUCUAGGCUCUAAUGAUCCUAGGAUGUGAACUGUCACCUAAAGCACUAUCAGAAGUGCAACUUCUGACAUAAUUUUAAAUAAGUGAAUCUUCCAUCCCUAGAUGUAGUUCUUGCUGGAUUAAAAAAAGGCUAUCUAUUUUAAUUAGGUAUGGUUUGUGAGCCUAAUUUAAUGUAAAAAAAUGCUUGAAAAAAUAAUAUUAAUGAAAAUUUUCCUUAAUGGUGGGUGGCAGACUUGUAAACUACUGUUAGACUCUGUAUGUGUGACUGACUGUUUGUUAAAGGAAAAGCAUGUUUUCGGAGUGUGGUUUUUGGACUUCCAGACAGAUUACACAAACUCAAGGAGGCCCAGCCCACAUCCUGUGUAGAAAACCAGCUCACAAAAAUGCUCAUUGUUCUUCAGGGUUAUAAGUCACUGUAUUUUGUGCUUCCUUUCUAUUUCAAAAUACUGUAUGGAAAAUACUAAUGCAAAGGAACCACAGUAGCUUAACAAGUGACUGGUCCUGCCAGGUACUGAGCACUGUGCUCUUACCAGAAGGCUGGGGGACUGGGAUUAAAACUGGGAUUAGGCUCCCUGGCUAGAGAACAAAGUUUGUGUUGGUAAAAGUAGCUGAGAGUAUUUAUCAGGUGAGUAAAUCAAUUGAUAACUGACAUACUUUCAACCUGAAAGUUAUUUGUGUGCAGCCAGUAUUUACUAUCCUGGAGUAGGGGUUACAGGAUAUGAAGUUUUAUUCAAGCGGGAUGAGUUCUCUGUAACACUGAUUCACGUCUGCUCAGUCUUCACUGCAGAAAGAGAGAAUGUGGGGUAUCUGGGUCUGAUACCCCACCAGAAAGUGGCUAGUGUUUCUGAAUCUCUAUCCAUGGUUAUUGCUGGGUUGUGUUUUUCAACCUGGAAGCUAAUGGACCUAUCCACGAAGGGAGCUGUCAAGUCAAAAAACACUAAAACUUGUUCACUCUUCCCUCUUUUGAACAUACAUUAUCAUCUUGGAGGUUAUUUUUUAAAAAGAUUAGGUGCUUUCAUUUUCAACUUUUAAACAGGAAUAGUGUUCCAAUGUUAAUUCUAAACCACAUGUAUUAUGUUUUUCUUCCUUCAGAAGAGCAAUGUGUCAUAUUUUUUGCUAGAGUUCAGUACCCAUUUAAGACUGAAAUAUUUGUUAUGAUAAUACAGAUGCAGCUAAGCAGAAGGCUGCCAUGGGAGUGUUUGAGGUUGUGCCCUGCUUUUCUAUAGCCCUCUGAAAGGAAUCACUUCCCUUUAGUCUCUGCCAAUCUCCUGACUGUGCAACAUUCCCAAAACAUGUAGACCAUAAAAUGGGAUUUUAGGGAAGGCAUUCAAGUAAACUGAAGUUCCCUUGGGAUGAGAUUUGCUUUUUCAUGCAGAGCUUCUGUUUACUGUAGCCUGGCACUGGAGUGAAUUCUCUUGGUGACCCCAAGGGUGGGAGAGCACCCAGGCCAUCCUCUUGUUUUGGGGAUAGUCUCUCCUGGCUGGCACAAUAAAGUCUCCCUUUGCAGUGUUUUUGGAAGGACACACCCAAGUGCAAGUUUUUUUCUUUGUCUCUUCAGUGUCUCUGUAACAAUAAGUGACCAGUCUCGUGAUGUGGCUGUAGCUGCCAGAAAUCUGCAGUGAAUGUACAACUGUAUCAGUCAUUAAUUGCACAGUAUUGCUGAAGCGGCCCAAUGCUUUUCUGAGUUGUGUUCAAGGGAUCCCUUUGUAUACUGGAAGACUCCUUGUUGCCAGUAGUGAGGCUUCACAUGCUGGUGGCCUUGUAUUGGCUUCCUGGAGGUGCUGCUGUCUGCUACAACAUGGCUGCUUUUGUGCAGGGGGAAGGCUGCAAUUGUAAAUACUCUCCUUAAAACAGCAAGAAUUAAUAAAUUCCCUUAGGUGACUGUAUUUUAGACGUGGCCUGCGUUUAUCACGUCCUUGAUGUGCUACUGGGUAUUAGUGAGGAAUACGAUAAGAGAUCUUCCAGACUGGAAGACUGCCCUCUGUGUUUGGUCAGCACAGCCUUAUUUCUACUGGCUUUACCUUUCUUUAGAGGGGACUCUGAACAGAAAUUGUUAAACUUCUUAUAACUGUGAAGCUUUGAACUAAUAGCAACAGCGAGAAUUUUCAGUUAUCUGAAGAAAUGUAUACAUCAGAAAUUCUUACGGGUUUUUUUUUCCUGCACCUGGUACAAAGAAGUAGAAUAGCCCUAGGAACAGGCAAGAUAACCCAAUUCCUGCUGCUGUCCAUUCAUUUGUGUACCUCCUAUUGUAACCAAAGCAAAGAAUUAUUUGCUAUGGGUUCUGAAUCAGGAGUCGCUAUUCUUUCUUUGGUUUCUUUUGAAAGCCUUUAUAAUGGGGAGCAUGCUUACAAAAUUAGGGGAGGUAAAUUUGGGGCCUGUAUGUCACACCACAGGUGACUGCACUCAGGAGUAAUGUCAUUGUCACAGCUGUACACACCUUUUGAUUCUAGAUGGUCAAAUUCUCUACCUUCAUUUGUAAGUGGGGUAUAAAUGAGAGAAAGGCUGACUUAAUUUGAUGGCAGACUGUUGAUAAGAGUACCACUACUCUUAUUUGGAGACUGCUUAAUCCUAUUUAAGGUUGGGAUUUUUUUGGAAAGUCUGAUUUAUGGUUGUAUUUUGUACUGGAGCCCAUUUCAGAGCUGAGUCUGAAUAAAUCUGUCAUUUGCUACAUCUUCAUUGGUAUUUCUAUAAUAUUUUAACUGUAUGAGAGUUAAACAGGAUUAUUAAAUAAAAUUUUCUGAAGGUCAAGGAGAUUCAUUAAUGUUUUUAAUACCUGCAGGUUUUAGGAAAACUUAUGCUGAAUUAUGAGCGGAAGUACCAACUUAUUAAAUAACUAUUUUUCUAAUAAAUAUAGAUGAUAUAACAUAACUGCAGGGAACCAAAAAUGUCAUGUCAAUAACAGUAGCACCUGCUUGUAUUUCAUUUAAUUUGUGUGUGGGAUUGUUUAUGUUGUAGGAAAUGGCAGUUUAUGAACAAGAUUUUGAGGGGAAUGAUAUGUUGCCAAGGCUGCAGUAUUUUGUAUUAUACUGUACAGACUCUGUAUUGUAACUCAGAGUAUUUGUGAGCUUCCUUCCCUUUGCAGUCCACCUGCUUACCACCGCUGCCAGUAAGGUGAAGUUGCAGUGAGCUGGGUCAGUGGGAGAAACCUCACUUUCCUUGCAGUGUUCGAUUGAUGCCCAUGUAGUUCUGUCAAUGUCUUGUUACAGAGUCAGGUAGGUGCCAGUGCAAGGAACGCAGGAGGGGCAAUCUUCUGAUUUGGCAACAGCUGGCAAUCAGAUUGGCUUUAUGGUUUCAUCAAGUUGUAUCUGUAAGUUGUGCCCACAUCUGUACCUAUGUGGAAAGGUGUCCUUCCCUACUGUCAGGUGCAGCCCAUCUCCUGAGCACUGCCACUGUUGGUCAGCUGCUUGACAAAAAGGUAGGUAGGGGACACAGACUUAGCUGGCUGUGAGAUUCUAGGAUCUAGUCCUAGAUUUCUAGGACUGAUGGAGAGAGAACUGCUUAACACAUCAGGUUCAGAUGGGCCUGUGUGUUCACAUUACAAGAUGAAAUACGUGACUCUAAAGAAGCAUUAGCUCUGACCUGGGUGGCUGCAAAAUAAAGGAAUCCAUGUAGUAGAAAGACAGAUAAAAGAAUGGCUUACCAAGGCAGUUGGUAAUGCACUAGUAUAACUUGGGAUAAGAAAAAGAAAAAAGGAAGGGAAGAUCUAGAAAUCCCAGCCAGUUUAUCUGGAUCAUUAGACUGGUGUCAAAAUACUCUGAAAUGUGUGGACUGGGAUAAGACAGUAGAAGGUCACCAUUACCUUAGGAAAAAAAGAAAAGGCCGCAAGCAGUGUCUCUCCAAGGACCUGGUUUUUUACUACCUACUGUUACAAGUGACACUAGAGAUUACUAAAACUGGAAGAAAUUAGACGAACCAAACCCUUUUCUUGUUUUCUGGUUAGCGCCAUUGCUAACAUUCUUGGCAGAACUUCACAGGCGCUUUCCGUGGGUUUUGUGCUUGGUUGCACUUCCUGUCUCAUUUAUUGGCAUAAUGAUGUCAUUCUUGCACACCACUGGGGAGGAGCACAGCAGUGUGCUCUGCCCCAACUCCUGUGAGAAAAGCUUUCUUGUGCCCCUACAAGAAGACCUUGCUCCUGCUCUGAUGGCUAAAAUCCAAAUGGAAGAUCCGUUUUUUGGGCCUCCCCUGUAUGGAAGUGGGAGGCAGAGCAGGAAGAAGAGGCAGCAGGAGAAGUGGCAUGUCAUGUCAUCUUUGGUAGGAAGCUACUUACAGGAACAUCUGUGUUCACCUAAUACGGGUGAGCACCUGGAGCCUGCAUAGCUCUGUGUGUGCCUCUAGAGUCUUUGCGGAGCUGUAGAAGAGAAGGCAGAGGUAGGGAAUAUGCUUUCCCUAAGCAAACAAUACAGUGAAAAGCAGGAAUGAGAGCUUCAAACACAUCCCUGCUCCUCUGGCCAGGCAACCCUGCUCGUGGGAGGAAAGCACUGAGAAAGUCCUAUUUGCCCAGUGCUCCUUCAUAGACCAGAAGAGUAGCAGGGUUUGUUUUUCUGGGUCGCCUGCCUGUCCCAAGAAGGCAGCAUGGAUCAAACAGUUUGUCCUUGGGGAUGUUGCUGCAGGAGAGGGAGGAAUGUGGCUUCAAGAGAGGGAACAGGUGGACCUGCAAACCUGGGGAGCAGCCUGGGCCUGCUGCUUGGCUGUACCUCUGCACAGGCCAGGUUGUGCUGUGCAAGCUGCAAUUUGCAGAGAGCUUUAAAGUGGUAGAAAUUGGUGUGCUAAAAUGAACUUGGGAAAACUUAAAUCCGGCUCAAAGGGGCUCUUCCAGCAUGAGUCAUCUGCAGCUGUGGAGAAGCCCUGGGCAGAGCCUUCCUCCCCACUGCUGAAUGGAGCUGUCAGAGCGCUUGGAGCCAGGGCAGGGAGAAAAAAUACCCCAGUUCAUUUCCUAACAAGGUAUGCAUGGGAGAAUUCCCCAAGGGGGCACUGGUGGGGGUUUGUCGCUCUGUGUUUUUCAAUCCCACAGCUCCACAUAAGAACACUGUGCAGCUUGAAACACCCUAAGCCCAUCCCCAGGAAGCAGACAAUGGUGUUGAUAUGGCUGUUGCUGCAGAGGAAGUGGCUUCUGUUACAACCAACAAACAAAGUCUGUUUUUGGGUGGUUGCCAGAAUAAAUUAGACAUAAAAUUAUUUUGCCUCUUUGCCUUUAGUCUUGUUGUCUUGGAGAUGUUCCUUUUGCUUCCUAACAUUUAAAUCUCACCUGCGGCAGGAUUUCCACUCCCUCACACCCCCCCCCCCCCCC
Lonchura striata (white-rumped munia) is the source of this 22811-nucleotide non-coding RNA. NCBI's taxonomy places the organism in Eukaryota, Metazoa, Chordata, Aves, Passeriformes, Estrildidae. The record is from RefSeq and is a predicted model, not a curated record.